AUACUUACCUGGCAGGGGAGAUACGAUGAUCAUGAAGGUGGUUUUCCCAGGGCGAGGCUAAUCCUUUGCACUCUGGAUGUGCUGACCCCUGCAAUUUCCCCAAACGUGGGAAACUAGACUGCCUAGUUUGUGGUAGUAGGGAACUGUGUGCACGCUCUCCCCUG
This is a small nuclear RNA of Heterocephalus glaber (naked mole-rat), 164 nucleotides long. Its record names the gene U1. It matches the Rfam family "U1 spliceosomal RNA". From Rfam's summary of the family: U1 is a small nuclear RNA (snRNA) component of the spliceosome (involved in pre-mRNA splicing). Its 5' end forms complementary base pairs with the 5' splice junction, thus defining the 5' donor site of an intron. The record is from Ensembl. NCBI's taxonomy places the organism in Eukaryota, Metazoa, Chordata, Mammalia, Rodentia, Bathyergidae.